UAGCUCAGUUACCACUGCCAAGAUGGGAAAU
RNAcentral lists this non-coding RNA (31 nucleotides) under Mus musculus (house mouse). The record is from RNAcentral. Lineage: Eukaryota; Metazoa; Chordata; Mammalia; Rodentia; Muridae.